AUUGAACGCUGGCGGCAUGCUUAACACAUGCGAGUCGAACGGCAGCAUGUUAGUAGCUUUGGUUGCUAAUGAUGGCGAGUGGCGAACGGGUGAGUAAUACGUAGGAACAUAUCCAUGAGAGGGGGAUAACUUAGGGAAACUUAAGCUAAUACCGCAUGAGCUCUUAGGAGGAAAGCUGGGGACCGCGAGGCCGGGCGCUGAUGGGAUGGCUUACGGCUGAUUAGCUAGUUGGUGGGGUAAAGGCGCACCAAGGCGACGAUCGGUAGCUGGUCUGAGAGGAUGAGCAGUCACACUGGAACUGAGACACGGUCCAGACUCCUACGGGAGGCAGCAGUAGGGAAUAUUGGACAAUGGGCGCAAGCCUGAUCCAGCCAUGCCGCGUGAGUGAAGAAGGCCCUCGGGUUGUAAAGCUCUUUUGUUGGGGAAGAAAAGCCUUGGGUUAAUACCCUGAGGUUCUGACGGUACCCAAAGAAUAAGCACCGGCUAACUUCGUGCCAGCCGCCGCCGUAA
This 510-nucleotide ribosomal RNA is filed under the name uncultured bacterium. Its description in RNAcentral is "partial 16S ribosomal RNA". It matches the Rfam family "Bacterial small subunit ribosomal RNA", at positions 30 to 523 of the family's 1533-position model. The record is from RNAcentral.